This 452-nucleotide ribosomal RNA is filed under the name uncultured bacterium. Its description in RNAcentral is "bacterial SSU rRNA". It matches the Rfam family "Bacterial small subunit ribosomal RNA", at positions 29 to 526 of the family's 1533-position model. The record is from RNAcentral.
AACGAACGCUGGCGGCAUGCCUAACACAUGCAAGUCGAACGAGACCUUCGGGUCUAGUGGCGCACGGGUGCGUAACGCGUGGGAAUCUGCCCUUCGGUUCGGAAUAACUCAGGGAAACUUGAGCUAAUACCGGAUAAUGACUACGGUCCAAAGAUUUAUCGCCGAAAGAUGAGCCCGCGUAGGAUUAGCUAGUUGGUGAGGUAAAGGCUCACCAAGGCGACGAUCCUUAGCUGGUCUGAGAGGAUGAUCAGCCACACUGGGACUGAGACACGGCCCAGACUCCUACGGGAGGCAGCAGUGGGGAAUAUUGGACAAUGGGCGAAAGCCUGAUCCAGCAAUGCCGCGUGAGUGAUGAAGGCCUUAGGGUUGUAAAGCUCUUUUACCCGGGAUGAUAAUGACAGUACCGGGAGAAUAAGCCCCGGCUAACUCCGUGCCAGCAGCCGCAGUAAGAC